Papaver somniferum (opium poppy) is the source of this 1320-nucleotide long non-coding RNA. RefSeq lists it as uncharacterized. The transcript is spliced from 10 exons. Lineage: Eukaryota; Viridiplantae; Streptophyta; Magnoliopsida; Ranunculales; Papaveraceae. The record is from RefSeq and is a predicted model, not a curated record.
UUCUCUUUCUUUCUCGGUCGGUCUGUCAAGAUACCUACUCUCCUCUCCUCUCAAACUCCGCCUCAACCAACAAGAUCAACCCUCUCUCAUAACAAUAUUUCCAAAUCAAGGUCUAACGCAAAUCCUUGAAUCCUUGAAUCAAAAACCAAUCAGUAAUUGAAAAAAAUCCCUAAUUGAAACAUUCAUAACCCUAAAAAUUUGAUAUUGUUCCUGAAAUUAAAAAAAACAACCCUUGUUCUGUGAUAGUAAUUGUUCUUCGAUCUACUAGCCAACAAUUGAGGCAAAAGAAGAAUUAAUGAACAAAUAGAAGACUAUUGGAGCUUCAAAAAUAUGAAUAAAAGUCAAAACUCUAAUGGUGAAGUUUGGCAGGCAGGCAAGGUAGAAAUGGUGCUCGACAAGGUUAAUAAUCUUGUGAAAAUGAAGCGACGGGUUGAGUAUGCAUUGAAGCAUAUCAGUGAGUCUUGUGUUGCAAACUUGCAAUGUUGGUGUAGUUUCUUAUACUUCAUAAUUUUUCCUUUAAGAAAGUUGGCAUUUGUGUAAUGAAAGUCAUCUCUGUGGACCCAUGGUUAGUGUGUGUUUGAACUGUGAAGUAGAAUAUGUAGUCUUUCUGCUACUAAACCUAUCUAAAACCAGAUAAAUUCGAUUUGAAACACAUGAAGGUGAUGAGCAGGGAAUGUUUUGGAUGAUCAUUGGCUUCCUAGAUUUGAAUGAUUGAUGAAAUGCAUAAAGUUGGAAGACCAAACCAGUGCUGAUAAGAGAAAGCUCCAUGUAUAGCUAAUGCUUUCAAAAGGAAAUCUGAAUGGAGCUUAUCUUGCACUCCAUGUCUGCAUUAGAAAAGUUAGUGCUCCUCUCAAAUUUAUUUAGAUUUUUCGAGGAAACGAGUUAAACAAAGACUUGUACAACCAAAACAUCUGAUGAGAAGUACUUAAAGGUAACUGACAGAAGAUGCUGAAACAUUGAAGUGGAAAGUGUUGGAGCAAGUUGAUGAAGAGCUGAUGUAAAGAGAUGUAAGAGCAGCAUUAAGUCUCGUGAAGGAGUUAGCGGGAAACCUGGUGGUAUUUGUUGCUCUGGGCACAUCAAGGCAGGUUGAUUUCUGGGAGCUUUCAUCCUUGAGGAGGAGGGGUCCAGUUUCUUUGGUGGACUUUGCAUUCCUGGUUGCUGCCAAAGAUUGGGAAGUAGUUAUAGAUCAAGAAGAUUGUUGGUUGUAUUUUUCCCAAAUGUUUCAGUUUUGUAAUGUGAAUUUAGAAUGGUUGCAAAUUGUUGCUUUUGGUAUCAAAUAGUACUGGAUAUGUUUAUGAAUAAGAAUUGCAGUUUCUCCAA